Long non-coding RNA from Equus asinus (donkey), 7579 nucleotides. The record is from Ensembl. Lineage: Eukaryota; Metazoa; Chordata; Mammalia; Perissodactyla; Equidae.
CUGGAAUCCAUUUAUUUCAACAAAAGAUGAGUUAAAUUUAAUUACAGGAUACAUUGUUCUAACUGGCAACUAAUGAGAAGUUAAAAACAAAUUUUGAAAAUACAGCAUUAUUUGCUUCAUUUUGGACAAAAAUUAAGAUGAAUAUCCUGGGCAUACUGAAAGUAUUUUAAAUCCCUUUGUAAACGUGGUUUUCUUAUGAAUGGUAUUAAAACAACACACAGAAGCAGUUUAGAUAUACACCAUUCCCUGAAAGUGGCAUUGUCGUCAAUCUGACCUGCAUUGGAUGUUUUAACAAGAAACAAACUCAUUUGUCACAUUAAAACUUUAAAAUAUUAAGAUGCAUGGUGUUUAUUCAAAGUAUGUCUAUAAUGGUUUAAUCAAGAGAAUUACUAAGUCACUCAAUUUUCUUCAGUGACAAGUGAAGAACAAUAAAAUGUUAAGGGUUAUAGAAAUUUUGUAUAUUAAUCUUAAAUGCACAUUUUCAACAGUUUUUUAAAUCAUUCUUUUCUCUUUCCCUUUUACGUUUGUUCUAAUUCUAUUUAUUGAAAUUUAAUUUUAUGUUUAUUGAAUCAGAUCAUGAAAAAUUUGAGCUUGUACUUUUUAUGUUUUUUUUCUCUUUUCAUUUGUACUAAUUUAGUUUUAUUGUAAUUUAUGAAGGUGUUGGACCACAAUGGCUCAAACAACGGUCCUAUCAUCACAGAUGGUUUGACACUCCUAUUUUACAGUUCAUAUACUUUCCAGACAAUUAUUCAGCUUUAGCUUGAAACCUUCUAGUCACUAGGAGCUCAUUGCCCUUCCAGGAAGCCAGCUCCAUUAUUUUACAGCUCUGAUUGUUAGCAAGUGUUUCCUUACAUUGAGCAGAAAUCAAUCUUCCUAGGAUUUGUAAUUCUCAGAUUUGGUCCUGCCCCUGGAACUGUAUAAAAUAAAGUUACUCCCUCUUAUAUAUGACAGCUCUUCAGAUAUUUGAAAGCAUUUGUCAUAUCCCUUCUUAUUUUUCUUUAAACUCUACCUUUUUGAUUAUCCAGAUGACUUGAUUUCCAGAACUUCCCUGUCCUGGUUGCCUUCUUCUGCACAUAUACUUUCAAUAAUUUCUUUCUUAAAAUAUAUUACCCAGAACUGAACUGAAUAUAAUUUUCUUGUUCUGGACAAUAUACUUCUGCUAAUGGUGCCAAUAACGCAUUAAGUUUGUUAGCAGUUGUGUCACUCUCUUGAUUCAUAUUGAGUCAUAAUUUCUUAAGAGGGAAUCAGAAUAUCAAAACAGUCUCCAAAGUCAGCUCUUCCUUAUGUAAAUACACUCUUCCACCCUUCUUGAUUCCUUUUAGGGAGAAAAUAAAAAGUUUAUUUUCAUUGUUAACCUCACUGAUUUUUAAUUUUAUCACUUAAAUGUUAGCAACAUGGCUGGUUAUGUAGCCGAAGAAGAUUUUAAGCAGGGAUGAUAUAUUUAGAAACUUCAUUCUGGCUAAAGGGUGGAGGGCAGAGGAUGGACUGGAACAGGCGCAAGCUGAAAUGUUGGGUGAACUGUUAAAUGACUGAUGUAGUAAUUCAGAUGACAAAUAAUAAUGGCCUGGAUUUGAGACGCAGAAAAGAAGAUGGGGAGAAGGAGACAGAUUCCACCGAAAGGUAGGAAGUAAAAUUAAUAGGAUUUGGUAACUAAUUUAUAUGGGAAUGACAGAGUAAUGAAUGAGAGAGGGGGGAAAAAAGAGCUCUUGACAUCAGAAGCUGACCUGGUAUUCAGAGCUGGGCCGUGUUAUUUCCUGUUGGGCGUAUGAAUCUCACAGAUUACCAACAUCAGACAGAUUAUUCUGAGACCAUAUAACAUGAGAAAAAAACAAGUCUGCUUCAUAAUUUUGUCUAAGCACAGACGAAAACAGGGUCACUGUGCCAUCCACAAAAUACCAAAUCCCCCCCUCUCUUGACUAAAAUGAGUGACAGCUACUUCUUUACCAGUUAUGGUAUUAUCCUUGUUCUGGAUGGUUCUUCCUGUAGAUAAGAUGUAUUGAGAUUCCAAUCAUAAAAUGCCUCUUCUUUCUGACAGCAUCCAAUGUAGAGCAGAGCCCUGCUUCCUUAGACCCUCUCUCAAAUCACUCAUCCAAAUCCCAAAUCCUGGAUAGGUUCUUUCUCACUCUCUUCCUGAGUCCCACGGUUCGCCUUUACUGCAAUGAGUAAUAAACUCGUUCAACUAGAGGUGUGUUCCUGGUUGUCUCUGGCUGAAGGGCAUUGACAUUAAGAAUAAUCCCAGGAUUUCUUGCUUGGACGAUCAGGUGCUGGUAGUAGCAGUAAUAGAAAUAAAGAAUACUAGAUGAGAGGGAGGAAAUGUCUUUAAUUUCUAAGAGGUGAUCUUUGAGAUUAGAGAUAACCAGGAAGUAAUUGGAUGGAUAUAUGGUUCUGGAGCUUAAGAGAGAUGUCUUUGCUCAAUCUCUCUCUCUCUCAUCUCCAUCCACACAUAAACAUACUAAAAAAUAUAUUUUUGAAGCCAUUGUUUAUAUAGUAAUUGAAACUGUGGGAUGAGCUAAAAUCACCAUAGAGGGAAUAGAAUGAGGAGGGAAAAAGGUUGAAGACAGAACCCCCAGGAACACCUAUAUUUAUGAGGUGGGCAGAAAAUGAGAUACUCAGAAAAGACUUUUAGACGGAGCUGUCAUUGAGGAAAGAAGAGAACCAGGAGUAGAAAAAGACCAGAAGUUAGAGAAGGAGAGCGUUUCAAGAAGGAGGAUGAGAUUAGCAGUUUUAUAUGCUGCUAAGAACUCAAGUAAGAUAAGGAGCCCGUCAAGCAGUGUGACAUCUCCCCAUCAUUUUUUGAGCACCUCUUUACACUCUGGGACAAUAAGAUGUUUCAGGCUCCUCUUAUACUUCCCUGCUAGAGCCCUGGAAUCAGCCAUUUCUCUAAGGACUCCUGUUUCCUUUGAGUGGAAAAUGGUAUUUAGAGACCAAGAUCUGCUGUCCUGCUUACUCCUUUUAAGAAGCUUGUCUGUGAAGGGCUCUUGCUGUGUGGGGGUCACACAGGUGAGUGGAAGGAUGGAGAGAGGGGGAGACUUGGCUUACAUAAAGAUGAGCAAAGCAGAGGUCUGGCGAUCAGACCUGAAGCUUAAGGUCAAAAGCAGGAUAAAGAUGAUUUGACCUUGAGUCCCUGAGUGGCACAUAGAACUCCAAAGGUCUCCCUAAGGUUAGCAUUCAUUUUGGGAAUCUGGGUGGAGUUCUGCCUUGCAAUAGGCAUUAGGUGGUCUGAGCAGGAGAGAGAGGCUGUGUGCCAAGGCUGGGCACCAAGCAAAGCCUGAAACCACCUGGGAAAUGUAUGGGUUAUCUACCUGUGCCAAGCAUUUUACCCUGACGUGUGGGCUUUAGUGUUGCAGUUGUAACUCUCUACUUAUUAAAGUAAUAAGUAUGUUUGUUGACUUUAAUAUUCUUUAUUAUUAAGAAAAGAAUUGGAUGUUUGGUGUGAACAUCUGUGGUUUUGUUGACCCAGCAUUCCAACCUUCUUUCUUCUGGAAAAUGCCCAUUUUCCUACCACAAACAUCUUGUAGGGAGUCCCAGCUCCUGGCUAGAGUUAACUGGAUUAGAGAUGAGUAACCACAUCUAGUAGGGCUGAUGGAAAUACAGAGUUUUGUUCCUGAGUGAGCAGAUGACCUAAGCCAGGCCAAUGAAAGGCCUUCCUCAGGAUUGGAAAAACUGAGCUGGGCAAAGAGGCUUACUCCCUCUCUAGGACAAAUGGAAAGGUGAAACAUUUGUUUUGUUUGUGGCAUAAUCCCUAGGAAGAAAACCAGCACAAAAGAAACAGAAAUAAGAGACGAAAGGAGAAGACUCUAGAUGGUGUUUGAAUCUCUGAUUCCUUGUCGGUGAGGCCCAGGUGUGCCCUUGCCAGCUCAGAACUAUAUGAGCCUACCAACAAAGAUCCCUUUUUGCCUAAGCUAGUUCGACUUGGUUGCAAACCAAGUCACUUUCACCAAAAGAGAGAGACCUCACUCAUACCAUGACUUCAAAUAAGUCUGGUUUUAAUUUACAUCGUCAAAAGCUGACUUCAUUUGUGUUGUCAAAAGUUAACUUCAUUUUGAUAAGCAUCCCAAACAUCCCACCCAAAACAGUAAGAAAUAAAGUGACCAUAAAUGGCUGUUGCACUUUUCCUAAUAAAAACAGCAGUUGUUCAAAAUAAUUUUUUUUUCUAUUUAUGCCUAACAUUAGGAUAUCUAUCCAGGCAGUCUCCCAAGGAGCUCUUUCUUAUUAACAAUCUUCGUUUAAAUUGUAUUUCCAUUCCUCCCCUUCCCCAUCACACUAUCGCACUGAAUGUAUAUUAUCUUGUCAUUUUAUUAAUACUUCCUUUUCUAAAGCAACAGGAAAUAAAUCAUUUUUAAGAGAAAGUAUGUAUACUUUCUUAUUUUUUCCCUUUAAUUACAACUUUCCAAGUGCCUACUCAAGCUUAUACUUUCUCUCACCAAGAGUUAUUUUAACAGGUUUUACUGUGUCUAUUAACUCUUUUAGCUUUUCUAGUCCUUAAGGCUAGGUAGAAACCAUAAUCCUUGUGUUUACCCAGACAUUUGCUAAUUUCAAGGACAGCUAUCCAAGCUCGUUAACGGCUUUGUUCUUUGAAAAGAAUCUGGGUUUGAUUCAAUGAGUAGAGUCAUUCAAUGCAUUCAAUGCAGUGUUAAUCAUUGCAUUUGAUAGUUUUCCUUUGCCUACCCCUCUUUACAGAAUCAGCCUCAAAUUUUCUUCUGGGGAUUUACCCUUUCCCCACCCUCAGUCUAUGAGGUCUCAAUGGCAUUCUGAUUCCUACCUCAAGAUGGAUCCAUGACCCAAGCCCAAGACAACCUGCACUUGUCUUCCUGAGGAUAUGAAUUUAAGGGGCUGUGAGGCUGGCAUUCCUGCAGCCAUCUUAUGACCAUGAGGGGAUUGUCCGUCUGAGAAUGGAGCCAACCCAAAAGACAUGGAGCUGAGAGAUGGAGAAAGAGAAACCAAGUCUUAAUUACUUGAACCAAAAAUUAACUUUUGUUUAAGCCCAUUUGAAUGGAUCUUUCAUUACUUACAACUAAAAGAGUCUUAACUGAUGUAGUAAUGAUCAUGUGAAAUUCACUUGCAUAAGAGGAAAAAUUGCAUAAGUAUAUAUAUGUAUACAUGUACAUACAUAUAUAUCUUAUUUUUUUUAGAGUGAGAUCUGCAAACAAGUGAAAACUCAGAAUCUAUUGGCCAUGUCAGCUUGUCCUAUAUGCUUGCCAAAAUUAAUUGUCUAGAAAAGAGAGUAAACCAUAAGAAACUAGCCUCUGAGUAUUCUAAAAAAUCUACCCAAUUGCUUAGGAUAUCCCAAGUGUAAGAGAUUUAACCCAGUCCCUUAAUAGUGCAUUACAAUGAGAACAGUCAUUCUGUGUAGUGACUAUGAGACACCAGAAAACACAGUUAUCAGAGAGAAAGAUCCAUAGGCUCGUAGAAUUUUUGAUCUGGAGAAGUGAAGAUCCCCAGUAAUGCAGGGAAAUGGAUUCAUGUCACUUUCAACAAUAUAAAUUGAAAUUCAUGUUUUAGUUUAAUCCUUAAAUAACUGAAAAUUUAAAUAUAUGAAAACAAUGGUUUUCCAGUCCCUUCUACUGACUAAGGCUCUACAAUACAGCGACUUUUACCAGGGCUGGGCCUUCUUAGGUCUUGAGGAACAUAGAAGAUUAACAAACAACCCCUACCUCGUUUUCUCCAUCCUGUAACUCACAUGGUAGGACAAAUCUUCUAUUUUUCAAGGUGAUCUUUGAGGAAUGUCAUACAUUUUGAUUCAGAUUAUUUGGGAGGAAGUAUGCAAAGUAGAAAAACGGAAGACAUUUAGAGUUAGCAGAUUUUCAUUUGGAUCCUAGCCCUGUCCAUACUGUGUGAGCUCACCAGAUAUAAACCCCAGGAGGGCACAGCCCAGAGCUGUCUUAAUUCAUUGAUGUACACCCAGUGCCAAGCACAGUAUCUGAGACAUAUAAUAGGUGCUCAAUAGAUUUUUGUGAAACAAAUUAAUAUAUGGAUUUUGCCUGAGUCCCUUAACCUUUCUAUGUUAGUUAAGCUAACUGGUACAACCACCAUCAAGACCUCAGUGCCUGGACACAAUACAGGUUUGUUUCUCACUCCCGUCACAGUCUAACUCAGGUCAGUGAAUGGGAGAAAACAUCUCUGCUCCACAGAGUCAUUCAGGGACCCAGGCUCCAGCCAAGUGGUGGCUUCACCAUCCCUUGGGGCCUCGUACUGCUCUACUGGAUCUUAUGCAUCUAGAUGGCAGGUAGAGGAGUACUGAGUAUGACUAUACUGCAAUUUAUUUAUCCAUUCUCUUGUUGGUGGACACUUGUAUUGUUUCCAGUUUUACGCUAUUUUAAGGCUGUGAAAACAAAGGAUUGUAUGCUAGGUCUUAGUGGCCAGCCCUGGAGCAGGCUUCUGCCACAUUCCAUUGGCUGGAACUCUGUUGGCCCACCCCUCCAAAUGCAGGAGAGCUGGGAACUGUGAUCUAGUGGCAUGCCCUGGAAGCAGAGGAGAAGCUCAAACAUUGGAGGGAAUUUGCUUUUCUGCUUUACUCUCUGAGCCCCAAUUUCUUCUUCUGAAUAGAAGAAUUAAUAAUUGCUAUUUGCCAGCACUUUAUGAGGAUUUAAUGAGGCAAUAAAUGUGGAAGUACUUGGUAAAGUGCUAAUCAAAUCCUGGGUAAUUUGGUCCUUUUACCUCUGCAUUUCAUCUAUGAAAUGUGUAGGCUGAAAUGCCCUCUAACAAUCCUUUCCAGCUCUAAAAUGCUUUGAUUCUGUGUUUCUUUUCAAUAUUCAGCAAGUGCCUUUCUGACUUUGUACUGGGGUCUAGGAUAAAUCCUUACGAUCCUACACAUCAUUCCACAAUCCAGUGCUCCUGUCUCACACCCUCUUUCAUUGCAUAAUACUGCCCGCUUGGUUUUUUUUUUUGAGACAUAAGCUGGUUCUAUGUUAUCUCAUUUAAAUUCUGUUCAUUCCAACUAUGGGCAAAAGGUAAUUUUUGCCUUCCUAUUGCAUCGACCAGUUCCAGCCUGCUAGACUUCUUAUUUCAGAAGAAAACUGUAGAUGUAGGGAUGAGAACGUAAGAAAGCAUUCAACAGAUUCCUGCCUUGAAAGAGUCUACGUAAUAGAAGUUUGGUUCAAUUUCUCUCCUUUGUCUGUGGUUUCUUUAGUCUCUUGCCCCAGUUUCCCAGCUAAAUUCCCUUUGCCGUCCAUUGACAACUGUUUUGCACAAUUCCUAGAGGAGGUCAGCAAGGAGAGGUCUGAAUUCUGUGUUAAAGGCAGGUGACGGGCUGAUACGCUUUGGUGCUCAGGGGUAUGCUGGCUUCUAGGUAAUUCACAUAAAGCAGAGGAACUGGUCUACCCACUUCCCUUCUGGCCUCUUCUUAUCCUUCUCCAGACCACAGCCAGGGGCUCUUUUCACAAUGCAAAUCUGAUGUCAGUCCUGUGCUUAAAACACUUUAAUGUGUGUAUUGUACUUAAAAAAAAUUUUUGAUAUAUAUUAUAAAAAAUCUAAAACAAGAUCUUUAGUCCAGUUUGAGGAGUUUUGAUAAUUGGAUGUGCCUCUGAAAUCACCCCCCCAAAGAAGACACAAAACAUCGCUAUCACCUCGGAAAGCUCCC